CAAGUUUUUAAGGGCGCACGGUGGAUGCCUUGGCACCAGGAACCGAUGAAGGACGUGGGAGGCCACGAUAGGCCCCGGGGAGCUGUCAACCGAGCUUUGAUCCGGGGGUGUCCGAAUGGGGAAACCCGGCAGUCGUCAUGGGCUGUCACCCGCUGCUGAACACAUAGGCAGUGUGGAGGGAACGCGGGGAAGUGAAACAUCUCAGUACCCGCAGGAAGAGAAAACAACCGUGAUUCCGGGAGUAGUGGCGAGCGAAACUGGAUGAGGCCAAACCAGUCACGUGUGAUACCCGGCAGGGGUUGCGUGGUUGGGGUUGUGGGAUCUCUCUUUUGCAGUCUGCCGGCUGUGAGGCGAGUCAGAAACCGUUGAUGUAGGCGAAGGACAUGCGAAAGGUCCGGCGUAGAGGGUAAGACCCCCGUAGCUGAAACAUUAGCGGCUCGUUUGAGAGACACCCAAGUAGCACGGGGCCCGAGAAAUCCCGUGUGAAUCUGGCGGGACCACCCGUUAAGCCUAAAUAUUCCCUGGUGACCGAUAGCGGAUAGUACCGUGAGGGAAUGGUGAAAAGUACCGCGGGAGCGGAGUGAAAUAGUACCUGAAACCGUGUGCCUACAAGCCGUGGGAGCGUCGCGCAGAGAACUUGUUCUUUGCGUCGUGACUGCGUGCCUUUUGAAGAAUGAGCCUGCGAGUUUGCGGUAUGUUGCGAGGUUAACCCGUGUGGGGAAGCCGUAGCGAAAGCGAGUCCGAAUAGGGCGUGGAGUAGCAUGCUCAAGACCCGAAGCGGAGUGAUCUAGCCAUGGGCAGGUUGAAGCGGAGGUAAGACUUCGUGGAGGACCGAACCCACCAGGGUUGAAAACCUGGGGGAUGACCUGUGGUUAGGGGUGAAAGGCCAAUCAAACUCCGUGAUAGCUGGUUCUCCCCGAAAUGCAUUUAGGUGCAGCGUCGUGUGUUUCUUGCCGGAGGUAGAGCACUGGAUAGGCGAUGGGCCCUACCGGGUUACUGACCUUAGCCAAACUCCGAAUGCCGGUAAGUGAGAGCGCGGCAGUGAGACUGUGGGGGAUAAGCUCCAUGGUCGAGAGGGAAACAGCCCAGAGCAUCGACUAAGGCCCCUAAGCGUGUGCUAAGUGGGAAAGGAUGUGGAGUCGCAGAGACAACCAGGAGGUUGGCUUAGAAGCAGCCACCCUUGAAAGAGUGCGUAAUAGCUCACUGGUCAAGUGAUUCCGCGCCGACAAUGUAGCGGGGCUCAAGUACACCGCCGAAGUCGUGUCAUUGCGAUAUUACUCCUAACGGGGAUCGUGAUGGGUAGGGGAGCGUCGUGUGCCGGGUGAAGCAGCCGUGGAAACGAGUUGUGGACGGUUCACGAGUGAGAAUGCAGGCAUGAGUAGCGAUACAAGAGUGGGAAACUCUUGCGCCGAUUGACUAAGGGUUCCUGGGUCAAGCUGAUCUGCCCAGGGUAAGUCGGGACCUAAGGCGAGGCCGACAGGCGUAGUCGAUGGACAACCGGUUGAUAUUCCGGUACCCGCUUUGAAGCGCCCAAUACUGAAUCAGGCGAUGCUAAGUCCGUGAAGCCGCCCUGGAUCCUUCGGGUGAAGGGGAGUGGUGGAGCCGACGGACCAGACUUGUAGUAGGUAAGCGAUGGGGUGACGCAGGAAGGUAGUCCAGCCCGGGCGGUGGUUGUCCCGGGGUAAGGGUGUAGGCCGUGUGGUAGGUAAAUCCGUCGCACGUUAAGGCUGAGACCUGAUGCCGAGCCGAUUGUGGUGAAGUGGAUGAUCCUAUGCUGUCGAGAAAAGCCUCUAGUGAGUUUCAAGGCGGCCCGUACCCUAAACCGACUCAGGUGGUCAGGUAGAGAAUACCGAGGCGUUCGGGUGAACUAUGGUUAAGGAACUCGGCAAAAUGCCCCCGUAACUUCGGGAGAAGGGGGGCCAUUUCUGGUGAGGGAACUUGCUUCCUGAGCUGGGGGUGGCCGCAGAGACCAGCGAGAAGCGACUGUUUACUAAAAACACAGGUCCGUGCGAAGCCGUAAGGCGAUGUAUACGGACUGACGCCUGCCCGGUGCUGGAACGUUAAGGGGACCGGUUAGCUUGGAUUCGUUCAGGCGAAGCUGAGAACUUAAGCGCCAGUAAACGGCGGUGGUAACUAUAACCAUCCUAAGGUAGCGAAAUUCCUUGUCGGGUAAGUUCCGACCUGCACGAAUGGCGUAACGACUUCUCGACUGUCUCAACCAUAGGCCCGGUGAAAUUGCAUUACGAGUAAAGAUGCUCGUUUCGCGCAGCAGGACGGAAAGACCCCGGGACCUUUACUAUAGCUUGAUAUUGGUGUUCGGUUCGGCUUGUGUAGGAUAGGUGGGAGACUGUGAAGCGCCAACGCCAGUUGGUGUGGAGUCGUUGUUGAAAUACCACUCUGGUCGUGCUGGAUGUCUAACCUGGGUCCGUGAUCCGGAUCAGGGACAGUGUCUGGUGGGUAGUUUAACUGGGGCGGUUGCCUCCUAAAGAGUAACGGAGGCGCCCAAAGGUUCCCUCAGCCUGGUUGGUAAUCAGGUGUUGAGUGUAAGUGCACAAGGGAGCUUGACUGUGAGACUGACGGGUCGAGCAGGUACGAAAGUAGGGACUAGUGAUCCGGCGGUGGCUUGUGGAAGCGCCGUCGCUCAACGGAUAAAAGGUACCCCGGGGAUAACAGGCUGAUCUUCCCCAAGAGUCCAUAUCGACGGGAUGGUUUGGCACCUCGAUGUCGGCUCGUCGCAUCCUGGGGCUGGAGUCGGUCCCAAGGGUUGGGCUGUUCGCCCAUUAAAGCGGUACGCGAGCUGGGUUUAGAACGUCGUGAGACAGUUCGGUCCCUAUCCGCUGUGCGCGUAGGAGUCUUGAGAAGGGCUGUCCCUAGUACGAGAGGACCGGGACGGACGAACCUCUGGUGUGCCAGUUGUUCUGCCAAGGGCAUGGCUGGUUGGCUACGUUCGGAAAGGAUAACCGCUGAAAGCAUCUAAGCGGGAAGCCUGCUUCGAGAUGAGGGCUCCCUCCUCCUUGAGAGGGUAAGGCUCCCAGUAGACGACUGGGUUGAUAGGCCAGAUAUGGAAGCACUGUAAGGUGUGGAGUUGACUGGUACUAAUAGGCCGAGGGCUUGUCC
RNAcentral lists this ribosomal RNA (3117 nucleotides) under Streptomyces noursei. Its description in RNAcentral is "23S ribosomal RNA". It matches the Rfam family "Bacterial large subunit ribosomal RNA". The record is from RNAcentral. Lineage: Bacteria; Bacillati; Actinomycetota; Actinomycetes; Kitasatosporales; Streptomycetaceae.